Molecule: ribosomal RNA, 253 nt
Filed under: uncultured bacterium
Lineage: Bacteria
Description: partial 16S ribosomal RNA
Rfam family: Bacterial small subunit ribosomal RNA
Source: RNAcentral
UACAGAGGGUGCAAGCGUUAAUCGGAGUUACUGGGCGUAAAGGGCGCGUAGGCGGUCAUUUAAGUUGGAUGUGAAAUCCCUGGGCUUAACCUAGGAACUGCAUUCAAUACUGGGUGACUAGAAUAUUGUAGAGGGUAGUGGAAUUUCCGGUGUAGCGGUGAAAUGCGUAGAGAUCGGAAGGAACACCAGUGGCGAAGGCGGCUACCUGGACAAAUAUUGACGCUGAGGCGCGAAAGCGUGGGGAGCAAACAGG